CCUACGGGAGGCAGCAGUGGGGAAUAUUGGACAAUGGGGGCAACCCUGAUCCAGCCAUGCCGCGUGUGUGAAGAAGGCCCUCGGGUUGUAAAGCACUUUCAGUGAGGAAGAACGCCUGGUGGUUAAUACCCAUCAGGAAAGACAUCACUCACAGAAGAAGCACCGGCUAACUCCGUGCCAGCAGCCGCGGUAAUACGGAGGGUGCGAGCGUUAAUCGGAAUUACUGGGCGUAAAGCGCGCGUAGGUGGCUUGAUAAGCCGGUUGUGAAAGCCCCGGGCUCAACCUGGGAACGGCAUCCGGAACUGUCAAGGUAGAGUGCAGGAGAGGAAGGUAGAAUUCCCGGUGUAGCGGUGAAAUGCGUAGAGAUCGGGAGGAAUACCAGUGGCGAAGGCGGCCUUCUGGACUGACACUGACACUGAGGUGCGAAAGCGUGGGUAGCAAACAGGAUUAGAUACCCCAGUAGU
Molecule: ribosomal RNA, 464 nt
Filed under: Vreelandella stevensii
Lineage: Bacteria; Pseudomonadati; Pseudomonadota; Gammaproteobacteria; Oceanospirillales; Halomonadaceae
Description: partial 16S ribosomal RNA
Rfam family: Bacterial small subunit ribosomal RNA
Source: RNAcentral